AUGUUAUAAACUUCCAACUCCCUGCUGAUGGCAAUGUUACCGAUUCCUCGGAAUCGUGUGAUGUCGGACAUAGUAGGUAAUGCCUUGUUCAGAUUACAGCUGAAUAACAUGUUAUUCGAAGGUGUUACUUCUGAAUAACAAAACCGUUCGCACUAGCAUUUUAGGUAAUACUAUUUGACAGCUGACAGCAUGUGUCAAGCGCCAAAUUUUUUCGAGCAGUUUGUUGUUUGUUUACAAAUAUGCAGCGAGAUUCUUCAAAUUAGAAUUCAAUUAUUAUUAAACAAUUAUUCUGUUUGCAAUAAAAUAACCGUGAUGAGAUUUAUUGAUUUGCUUUUUUUCGUAAUUGCAAGAAGGGGACCAAACAUAGAAGGCUUGAGUUCAGUAUGGGAUGAAACUGAUAAUGAUUAGUGUGCGAUAAAAAGCCAGAAGUAUUUGUGUGCUUCGUUUAAAUUUUAUUUUGCUCAUUUUUCCAUCGGAAAUUGGCUAGGAACUUUUGGUUACAAGUAGUCUUAGGUUUCGUCAUCGGUGAACGGGAUGUGAAGUCGAGGAUUCCAUAAAUAUUACACAGGCAGAAAGCAUCAAUGGAGCCUGGGAGGUCAAGAUUGUUCAGAAAUAAUGUUUAGCAGCUGCAAGAGGAGCCAACGUGAAUUCAUGUUAAACAAAAUUGUAUUACCAAAACAGUGUGACAAUGGAAUUCACGGAGCAACCGCAGCGCGAGAAAACAGGAUUCCUGGAAUCCGAGCUAACUCGCGAACAACGGUGAAAAUUCCAAAAAUAUUCAGUACUAUCGUUUGGAGCGACCGACGGCUUUUUAUUGCGAUGCCUCUAGUCCUUGGACCCAAUGGGAAGUGUCGUCAGUGUUGGUUGAUUAUUCUGCACCUAUUUUGUAGAUCCAGUUUUGCUCAAAAGGUCAUCGGAAGACCACAAGUUGCCGGUAGUGAUAGUAUUAUAAUUGGUUUUAAGAGUAAGAAACCCACCGUCGUUUCACCCACAAGAGGAUGUACGAAGUAACUUCCAAUUUUUAUAAUAAAAUAACAAUUGAACAUCAUCAUCAGAGGA
This is a long non-coding RNA of Armigeres subalbatus, 1059 nucleotides long. RefSeq lists it as uncharacterized. The record is from RefSeq and is a predicted model, not a curated record. The transcript is spliced from 3 exons. Lineage: Eukaryota; Metazoa; Arthropoda; Insecta; Diptera; Culicidae.